RNAcentral lists this ribosomal RNA (1955 nucleotides) under human gut metagenome. RNAcentral describes it as "bacterial LSU rRNA". It matches the Rfam family "Bacterial large subunit ribosomal RNA", at positions 706 to 2642 of the family's 2925-position model. The record is from RNAcentral.
GCCGCGGACGCGAAGCCGGGUGAGCUAUCCGUGGGCAGGCUGAAGCGGGGGUAAGACCCCGUGGAGGGCCGAACGCACGUCGGUUGAAAACGGCGGCGAUGACCUGCGGAUAGGGGUGAAAGGCCAAUCAAACCCGGAGAUAUCUCGUUCUCCCCGAAAUAGCUUUAGGGCUAGCGUCGCGCGUUCACCGCCGGAGGUAGAGCACCGGAUGGACGAGGGGGCUUCGCCGCCUACCGAAUCCAACCGAACUCCGAAUGCCGGCGGCCCAGAGCGCGGCAGUCAGAGCAUGUGGGCUAAGCUGUGUGCUCGAGAGGGAAACAGCCCGGACCGCCCGCUAAGGUCCCCAAGUUCCAGCCGAGUGGCAAAGGAUGUGCGUCCGCCCAGACAACCAGGAUGUUGGCUUAGAAGCAGCCAUCCAUUCAAAGAGUGCGUAACAGCUCACUGGUCGAGUGGACAUGCGCCGACAAUACACGGGGCUAAGCUGGACACCGAAGCGGCGGGAUUUUGAUUUUCAGAAUCGGUAGGGGAGCUUCCCAUGGGCGGAGAAGCCGGAGGGCGACCGACGGUGGAGCGCAUGGGAGUGAGAAUGCUGGCAUGAGUAGCGAGAGACGAGAGAGUAACUCGUCCGCCGUGAACCCGAGGUUUCCUGGGCAAGGCUAAUCCUCCCAGGGUCAGUCGGGGGCUAAGGCGAGGCCGGGAGGCGUAGCCGACGCGCAGCAGGCAGACAUUCCUGCACCGCGCACGCGGCGCUACGACCGACGGGGCGACGGAUGGGGGUGGCUCGGCGGGGUUCUGGACGUCCCCGUGAUGGAGCGCGGCCCGCGGACCAGGGAAAUCCGGUCCGCAGAAGGGCGAGGCUCCGGACGAAGCACUUAAGCGAAGCGAGUGAGCCCGAGGUCCCUAGAAAAACCCCUAGGCAGGCGCGUGCGCGCCCGUACCGCAAACCGACACAGGUGGGUGGGUAGAACAUACCGAGGCGAUCGGGUCAACCAUGGUCAAGGAACUCGGCACAAUGGCCCCGUAACUUCGGGAGAAGGGGUGCCCGCGCGUACGUGAACCGGCUUGCCCGGGGAGCGGAGGCGGGCCGCAGUGGAGAGGCCCAAGCGACUGUUUACCAAAAACACAGGACUCUGCAGAAGCCGCAAGGCGACGUAUAGGGUCUGACGCCUGCCCGGUGCCGGAAGGUCACGCGGAGGAGUUAGCGCAUCGCGCGAAGCCCCGAAGCCAAGCCCCGGUAAACGGCGGCCGUAACUAUAACGGUCCUAAGGUAGCGAAAUUCCUUGUCGGGUAAGUUCCGACCUGCACGAAAGGCGCAACGACUUGGGCGCUGUCUCGACCAUGGACCCGGUGAAAUUGCACUGGUCGUGAAGAUGCGACUUACCCGCGGAAGGACGGAAAGACCCCGUGAACCUUCACUGCAGCUUGGCAUUGGCCGCUGGUCCCGCGUGUAGAGGAUAGGCAGGAGGCAUCGAUCCGGAGGCGCCAGCCCCCGGGGAGCCGCCCUUGGAAUACUGCCCUCGCGCGACCGGCGUCCUAACCCGAGGCCGUCAACCGGCUCGGGGACCGUGCCAGGCGGGCAGUUUGACUGGGGCGGUCGCCUCCUAAAGGGUAACGGAGGCGCGCGAAGGUCCGCUCGGGACGGUCGGCAACCGUCCUUUUGAAUGCAAGAGUACAAGCGGGCUUGACUGCGAGGCCCACAAGCCGAGCAGGUGCGAAAGCAGGCUCUAGUGAUCCGGCGGCCCCGAGUGGGUGGGCCGUCGCUCAACGGAUAAAAGGUACUCCGGGGAUAACAGGCUGAUCUUGCCCAAGAGUCCACAUCGACGGCAAGGUUUGGCACCUCGAUGUCGGCUCAUCGCAUCCUGGGGCUGGAGCAGGUCCCAAGGGUACGGCUGUUCGCCGUUUAAAGCGGUACGCGAGCUGGGUUCAGAACGUCGUGAGACAGUUCGGUCCCUAUC